RNAcentral lists this transfer RNA (71 nucleotides) under Marmota monax (woodchuck). It matches the Rfam family "tRNA". From Rfam's summary of the family: Transfer RNA (tRNA) molecules are approximately 80 nucleotides in length. Their secondary structure includes four short double-helical elements and three loops (D, anti-codon, and T loops). Further hydrogen bonds mediate the characteristic L-shaped molecular structure. tRNAs have two regions of fundamental functional importance: the anti-codon, which is responsible for specific mRNA codon recognition, and the 3' end, to which the tRNAs corresponding amino acid is attached (by aminoacyl-tRNA synthetases). tRNAs cope with the degeneracy of the genetic code in two manners: having more than one tRNA (with a specific anti-codon) for a particular amino acid; and 'wobble' base-pairing, i.e. permitting non-standard base-pairing at the 3rd anti-codon position. Lineage: Eukaryota; Metazoa; Chordata; Mammalia; Rodentia; Sciuridae. The record is from Rfam by way of RNAcentral.
GGGGGUGUGGCUCAGUGGUGGAGCGUUGCCUAGCAUGCAUGAGGUCCUGGGUUCCAUCCCCAGCACCACAA